CGGCGGACGGGUGAGUAAUGUCUGGGAAACUGCCUGAUGGAGGGGGAUAACUACUGGAAACGGUAGCUAAUACCGCAUAACGUCGCAAGACCAAAGAGGGGGACCUUCGGGCCUCUUGCCAUCAGAUGUGCCCAGAUGGGAUUAGCUAGUAGGUGGGGUAACGGCUCACCUAGGCGACGAUCCCUAGCUGGUCUGAGAGGAUGACCAGCCACACUGGAACUGAGACACGGUCCAGACUCCUACGGGAGGCAGCAGUGGGGAAUAUUGCACAAUGGGCGCAAGCCUGAUGCAGCCAUGCCGCGUGUAUGAAGAAGGCCUUCGGGUUGUAAAGUACUUUCAGCGGGGAGGAAGGUGCUGAGGUUAAUAACCUCAGCAAUUGACGUUACCCGCAGAAGAAGCACCGGCUAACUCCGUGCCAGCAGCCGCGGUAAUACGGAGGGUGCAAGCGUUAAUCGGAAUUACUGGGCGUAAAGCGCACGCAGGCGGUCUGUCAAGUCGGAUGUGAAAUCCCCGGGCUCAACCUGGGAACUGCAUUCGAAACUGGCAGGCUAGAGUCUUGUAGAGGGGGGUAGAAUUCCAGGUGUAGCGGUGAAAUGCGUAGAGAUCUGGAGGAAUACCGGUGGCGAACGCGGCCCCCUGGACAAAGACUGACGCUCAGGUGCGAAAGCGUGGGGGAGCAAACAGGAUUAGAUACCCUGGUAGUCCACGCCGUAAACGAUGUCGACUUGGAGGUUGUGCCCUUGAGGCGUGGCUUCCGGAGCUAACGCGUUAAGUCGACCGCCUGGGGAGUACGGCCGCAAGGUUAAAACUCAAAUGAAUUGACGGGGGCCCGCACAAGCGGUGGAGCAUGUGGUUUAAUUCGAUGCAACGCGAAGAACCUUACCUACUCUUGACAUCCAGAGAACUUAGCAGAGAUGCUUUGGUGCCUUCGGGAACUCUGAGACAGGUGCUGCAUGGCUGUCGUCAGCUCGUGUUGUGAAAUGUUGGGUUAAGUCCCGCAACGAGCGCAACCCUUAUCCUUUGUUGCCAGCGGUUCGGCCGGGAACUCAAAGGAGACUGCCAGUGAUAAACUGGAGGAAGGUGGGGAUGACGUCAAGUCAUCAUGGCCCUUACGAGUAGGGCUACACACGUGCUACAAUGGCGCAUACAAAGAGAAGCGACCUCGCGAGAGCAAGCGGACCUCAUAAAGUGCGUCGUAGUCCGGAUUGGAGUCUGCAACUCGACUCCAUGAAGUCGGAAUCGCUAGUAAUCG
RNAcentral lists this ribosomal RNA (1252 nucleotides) under Enterobacteriaceae bacterium. RNAcentral describes it as "bacterial SSU rRNA". It matches the Rfam family "Bacterial small subunit ribosomal RNA", at positions 96 to 1344 of the family's 1533-position model. Lineage: Bacteria; Pseudomonadati; Pseudomonadota; Gammaproteobacteria; Enterobacterales; Enterobacteriaceae. The record is from RNAcentral.